RNAcentral lists this ribosomal RNA (500 nucleotides) under uncultured bacterium. RNAcentral describes it as "partial 16S ribosomal RNA". It matches the Rfam family "Bacterial small subunit ribosomal RNA", at positions 30 to 523 of the family's 1533-position model. The record is from RNAcentral.
AUUGAACGCUGGCGGAAUGCUUUACACAUGCAAGUCGAACGGCAGCACGGGGGCAACCCUGGUGGCGAGUGGCGAACUGGUGAGUAAUACAUCGGAACGUGCCCAGUCGUGGGGGAUAACGUAGCGAAAGUUACGUUAAUACCGCAUACGAUCUACGGAUGAAAGCGGGGGACCGUAAGGCCUCGCGCGAUUGGAGCGGCCGAUGUCAGAUUAGGUAGUUGGGAAGGUAAAGGCGCACCAAGCCGACGAUCUGUAGCUGGUCUGAGAGGACGACCAGCCACACAGGGACUGGGAAACGGCCCAGACUCCUACGGGAGGCAGCAGUGGGGAAUUUUGGACAAUGGGCGCAAGCCUGAUCCAGCCAUUCCGCGUGCAGGUCGAAGGCCUUCGGGUUGUAAACUGCUUUUGUACGGAACGAAAAGGCUCUGGUUAAUACCUGGGGCUCAUGACGGUACCGUAAGAAUAAGCACCGGCUAACUACGUGCCAGCAGCCGCCGUAA